This 253-nucleotide ribosomal RNA is filed under the name uncultured bacterium. RNAcentral describes it as "partial 16S ribosomal RNA". It matches the Rfam family "Bacterial small subunit ribosomal RNA", at positions 524 to 776 of the family's 1533-position model. The record is from RNAcentral.
UACGGAGGAUCCAAGCGUUAUCCGGAUUUAUUGGGUUUAAAGGGUGCGUAGGCGGCUUAUUAAGUCAGUGGUGAAAGACUUCAGCUUAACUGAAGAACUGCCAUUGAUACUGAUGAGCUUGAAUAUAGUUGAGGUUGGCGGAAUGUGUCAUGUAGCGGUGAAAUGCUUAGAUAUGACACAGAACACCGAUUGCGAAGGCAGCUAGCCAAACUAUGAUUGACGCUGAUGCACGAAAGCGUGGGGAGCAAACAGG